UACGUAGGUGACAAGCGUUGUCCGGAUUCAUUGGGCGUAAAGGGUGCGUAGGUGGCGCCGUAAGUGGGGUGUGAAAUCUCGGGGCUUAACUCCGAAACUGCAUUCCAUACUGCGGUGCUCGAGGACUGGAGAGGAGACUGGAAUUUACGGUGUAGCAGUGAAAUGCGUAGAGAUCGUAAGGAAGACCAGUGGCGAAGGCGGGUCUCUGGACAGUUCCUGACACUGAGGCACGAAGGCCAGGGGAGCAAACGGG
This 253-nucleotide ribosomal RNA is filed under the name uncultured bacterium. RNAcentral describes it as "partial 16S ribosomal RNA". It matches the Rfam family "Bacterial small subunit ribosomal RNA", at positions 524 to 776 of the family's 1533-position model. The record is from RNAcentral.